GACGAACGCUGGCGGCGUGCUUAACACAUGCAAGUCGAACGGAAAGGCCCUGCCUUUGUGGGGUGCUCGAGUGGCGAACGGGUGAGUAACACGUGAGUAACCUGCCCGUGACUUUGGGAUAACUUCAGGAAACUGGGGCUAAUACCGGAUAGGAGCUCCUGCUGCAUGGUGGGGGUUGGAAAGUUUCGGCGGUUGAGGUUGGACUCGCGGCUUAUCAGCUUGUUGGUGGGGUAGUGGCUUACCAAGGCUUUGACGGGUAGCCGGCCUGAGAGGGUGACCGGCCACAUUGGGACUGAGAUACGGCCCAGACUCCUACGGGAGGAAGCAGUGGGGAAUAUUGCACAAUGGGCGGAAGCCUGAUGCAGCAACGCCGCGUGCGGGAUGACGGCCUUCGGGUUGUAAACCGCUUUCGCCUGUGACGAAGCGUGAGUGACGGUAAUGGGUAAAGAAGCACCGGCUAACUACGUG
Molecule: ribosomal RNA, 468 nt
Filed under: uncultured bacterium
Lineage: Bacteria
Description: partial 16S ribosomal RNA
Rfam family: Bacterial small subunit ribosomal RNA
Source: RNAcentral